AUUGAACGCUGGCGGCAGUCUUAACACAUGAAAGUCGAGCGGGGGAAGGUAGCUUGCUACCGGACCUAGCGGCGGACGGGUGAGUAAUGCUUAGGAAUCUGCCUAUUAGUGGGGGACAACAUCUCGAAAGGGAUGCUAAUACCGCAUACGUCCUACGGGAGAAAGCAGGGGAUCUUCGGACCUUGCGCUAAUAGAUGAGCCUAAGUCGGAUUAGCUAGUUGGUGGGGUAAAGGCCUACCAAGGCGACGAUAUGUAGCGGGUCGGAGAGGAUGAACCGCCACACUGGGACUGAGACACGGCCCAGACUCCUACGGGAGGCAGCAGUGAGGAAUAUUGGACAAUGGGGGGAACCCUGAUCUAGCCAUGCCGCGUGUGUGAAGAAGUCCUUAUGGUUGUAAAGCACUUUAAGCGAGGAGGAGGCUACUCUAGUUAAUACCUAGGGAUAGUGGACGUUACUCGCAGAAUAAGCACCGGCUAACUCUGUGCCAGCCGCCGCCGUAA
Molecule: ribosomal RNA, 501 nt
Filed under: uncultured bacterium
Lineage: Bacteria
Description: partial 16S ribosomal RNA
Rfam family: Bacterial small subunit ribosomal RNA
Source: RNAcentral